Molecule: vault RNA, 100 nt
Filed under: Saimiri boliviensis boliviensis (Bolivian squirrel monkey)
Lineage: Eukaryota; Metazoa; Chordata; Mammalia; Primates; Cebidae
Description: Vault RNA (ENSSBOG00000004240.1)
Rfam family: Vault RNA
About the family: This family of RNAs are found as part of the enigmatic vault ribonucleoprotein complex.
Source: Rfam by way of RNAcentral
GGGCCGGCUUUAGCUUAGCAGUUACUUCGACAAUACUUUCUAUGGUGGAAAACAACCGCUCUGUGUGGUUUGAGACCCGCGGGCACUCUCCAGCCCUUUA